ACCUCGCUUACUCCCUUCAUGGUUCAAGUUCUUGUUUGUAGCCAAGAUUGGCUAAGGCGUUCUACUCCUAUCAAUAUUGAAGAGGAUAUGGAGGAAUUAGAGAUCUUGGAAAAAGAAUUACUAGAAGAGUAUGCUACUGCAAAGUCUGCCAAGUCGAAGACAUCACAAGCUAGCAAUACUUGUUCAACUUAAACUUGGUGAGCACAAAUGCUUAAUCUUCUAUAUGGGCAGAAAGUUUAGUAUGACUGGUUUAUACAACCAUUGGUUUCCAGGAUGUUUUGAUACAGGGUUUAGAUCUCCCUUCGAUGAUAUUGUGGGCAAGGAAGCAAGGAGUAUGUCUUUGUUGCCAACUCAGACAACUUGGGUGCCAAUUUUCUCGUCUCUGGCUUGUUAGGCUGUUUACUGAAUGCUGAGUGUUCUGCCCCAAAGUCUGGUGAAUCGACUUGAAUGGACUGUGCUGUGCUGUACUACAUGGCAAAUCUGUGUAAUCUCCGCUUUGAUAGCAUGUAAAGCACAUUCUACCGAUUUCCUAUUAUCCUCUGUCCUGUUACUUGGCCAA
Molecule: long non-coding RNA, 559 nt
Organism: Lolium rigidum
Lineage: Eukaryota; Viridiplantae; Streptophyta; Magnoliopsida; Poales; Poaceae
Exons: 4
Source: RefSeq, a predicted model, not a curated record